This 497-nucleotide ribosomal RNA is filed under the name uncultured bacterium. RNAcentral describes it as "partial 16S ribosomal RNA". It matches the Rfam family "Bacterial small subunit ribosomal RNA", at positions 28 to 507 of the family's 1533-position model. The record is from RNAcentral.
GAUGAACGCUGGCGGCGUGCCUAAUACAUGCAAGUCGAGCGAACAGAUGAGGAGCUUGCUCCUAUGAGGUUAGCGGCGGACGGGAGAGUAACACGUGGAUAACCUAACUAUAAGACAGGGAUAACAAUGGGAAACCGGAGCUAAUAGCGGAUAAUAUAUUGAACCGAAUGGUGCAAUAGUGAAAGACGGUUUUGCUGUCACUUAUAGAUGGACCCGCGCCGCAUUAGCUAGUUGGUACGGUGAAGGCUUACCAAGGCAACGAUGCGUAGCCGACCUGAGAGGGACGUCCCCCACCCUGGCUCUGAGCCACGGCCCACACUCCUGCGGGAGGCCGCGGUAGGGACUCUUCCGCAAUGCACCAGAGCCUAACGGAGCGCCACCGCGGGAAUGAUGACGGUCUUCGGACCCUAGAACUCUGUUAUUCUGGAAGUACAAAUGUGUAAUCAACUGUGCACGUCUUGACGGUACCUAAUCAGAAAGCCCCGGCUAACUACGUG